This 74-nucleotide small RNA is filed under the name Drosophila guanche. Lineage: Eukaryota; Metazoa; Arthropoda; Insecta; Diptera; Drosophilidae. The record is from RNAcentral.
CAGCAGCAGCAGCAGCAGCAGCAGCAGCGGCCAUUGCUAAGUUUCCAAAGCUUCUGCUGCUGCUGCUGCUGCUG